Molecule: ribosomal RNA, 496 nt
Filed under: uncultured bacterium
Lineage: Bacteria
Description: partial 16S ribosomal RNA
Rfam family: Bacterial small subunit ribosomal RNA
Source: RNAcentral
AUGAACGCUGGCGGCGUGCCUAAUACAUGCAAGUCGAGCGAACGGACGAGAAGCUUGCUUCUAUGAUGUUAGCGGCGGACGGGUGAGUAACACGUGGAUAACCUACCUAUAAGACUGGGAUAACUUCGGGAAACCGGAGCUAAUACCGGAUAAUAUUUUGAACCGCAUGGUUCAAAAGUGAAAGACGGUCUUGCUGUCACUUAUAGAUGGAUCCGCGCUGCAUUAGCUAGUUGGUAAGGUAACGGCUUACCAAGGCAACGAUGCAUAGCCGACCUGAGAGGGUGAUCGGCCACACUGGAACUGAGACACGGUCCAGACUCCUACGGGAGGCAGCAGUAGGGAAUCUUCCGCAAUGGGCGAAAGCCUGACGGAGCAACGCCGCGUGAGUGAUGAAGGUCUUCGGAUCGUAAAACUCUGUUAUUAGGGAAGAACAUAUGUGUAAGUAACUGUGCACAUCUUGACGGUACCUAAUCAGAAAGCCACGGCUAACUACGUG